GGUGGCCCUGAGGUGCAAAACACAACAGCAAAUCAGAAAACACAACACAAAAGAGAUAACACAACACAAAAGAGAAAACACAACAGCAAAUCAGAAAAAACAACAACAUUAACCAUUGCGUUUUCUCUUUUUGCAUUGUGUUUUCUGUUUUUGUGUUGUGUUUUCUGUUUUGCCGUUGUGUUUUGCACCUCACGGCCAC
This is a non-coding RNA of Xyrichtys novacula (pearly razorfish), 199 nucleotides long. Lineage: Eukaryota; Metazoa; Chordata; Actinopteri; Labriformes; Labridae. The record is from the annotation of a GenBank genome assembly.